CGCCAGACUCCUACGGGAGGCAGCAGUGGGGGAUAUUGCACAAUGGGGGGAACCCUGAUGCAGCGACGCCGCGUGGGUGAAGGAGCGUUUCGGCGCGUAAAGCCCUCUCGGCAGGGAAGAAGGAGGACGGUACCUGACUAAGAAGCCCCGACUAACUACGUGCCAGCAGCCGCGGUAAUACGUAGGGGGCAAGCGUUAUCCGGAUUUACUGGGUGUAAAGGGGGCGCAGACGGCAGCGCAAGCCAGGAGUGAAAGCCCGAGGCCCAACCCCGGGACUGCUCUGGAAACUGCGUCGCUGGAGUACGGGAGGGGCAGGCGGAAUUCCUGGUGUAGCGGUGAAAUGCGUAGAUAUCAGGAGGAACACCGGCGGCGAAGGCGGCCUGCUGGACCGUGACUGACGUUGAGGCUCGAGAGCGUGGGGAGCAAACAGGAUUAGAUACCCGGGUA
Molecule: ribosomal RNA, 447 nt
Filed under: uncultured bacterium
Lineage: Bacteria
Description: bacterial SSU rRNA
Rfam family: Bacterial small subunit ribosomal RNA
Source: RNAcentral